CACCUAUGAAGCCUGCGCAGGGAUCACAGGAAAACUGGCAAACAGUGCGAAGAACGAAGGAAAAAAGCAGAUCAAGUUCAGCAAGAUCCCAACGGCCACGCAGAGGAGUGCAAGUAAAGCGUCCUCCCGCUCGACAGCAAAACUGAUGGAGUGCGCGGCCAUCUGGAGGGAGAGACGUGCGUUGAAGAUGCUUCUUCAGGUGCACAGAGGACGCAGGAGACGUGUGUUCUUCUGCCCCGUCGAGGCGGCUGCUGACGCUCCAAGGCAGCAACACGUGGGCGCACUUCGUGUGUUGCUCCCCAUUCAACAACACAACCGGCACAUUCAAAAAAGGGCCUGUGGGCCGCGGAAAGCUCUUCAAGAGGGCUUUCG
Long non-coding RNA from Gasterosteus aculeatus aculeatus (three-spined stickleback), 372 nucleotides. The record is from Ensembl. NCBI's taxonomy places the organism in Eukaryota, Metazoa, Chordata, Actinopteri, Perciformes, Gasterosteidae.